UCGAGAAUUUUUCACAAUGGGCGAAAGCCUGAUGGAGCGACGCCGCGUGGGGGAUGAAUGGCUUCGGCCCGUAAACCCCUGUCAUUUGCGAGCAAGGCUUUGUGCCUAACACGUGCAAAGUUGAUAGUAGCAGAAGAGGAAGGGACGGCUAACUCUGUGCCAGCAGCCGCGGUAAUACAGAGGUCCCAAGCGUUGUUCGGAUUCACUGGGCGUAAAGGGUGCGUAGGCGGCAGGGUAAGUUUGAUGUGAAAUCCCCGGGCUUAACUCGGGAACUGCAUUGAAUACUAUCCUGCUAGAGGAUCGGAGGGGAGACUGGAAUUCUCGGUGUAGCAGUGAAAUGCGUAGAUAUCGAGAGGAACACCAGUGGCGAAGGCGAGUCUCUGGACGAUUCCUGACGCUGAGGCACGAAAGCUAGGGGAGCAAACAGG
RNAcentral lists this ribosomal RNA (428 nucleotides) under uncultured Verrucomicrobiota bacterium. Its description in RNAcentral is "bacterial SSU rRNA". It matches the Rfam family "Bacterial small subunit ribosomal RNA", at positions 355 to 776 of the family's 1533-position model. The record is from RNAcentral. Lineage: Bacteria; Pseudomonadati; Verrucomicrobiota.